GACGAACGCUGGCGGCGUGCUUAACACAUGCAAGUCGAACGGAAAGGCCCUGCUUUUGUUGGGUGCUCGAGUGGCGAACGGGUGAGUAACACGUGAGUAACCUGCCCUUGACUUUGUGAUAUCUUCAGGCAACUGGGGCUAAUACCUGAUAGGAUCUCCUGCUGCAUGGUGGGGUUUGGAAAUUUUCGGCUGUUGGGGAGUGACUCGCGGCUUGUCAGCUUGUUGGGGGGGUAGUGGCUUACCCAGGGUUUGACGGGUAGCCGGCAUGGGAGGGUGAACGGGCACAAGAGGACUGCGAGAGGGAGCAGAGUGGAACGGGAGGCAGCAGGGGGGAGUAUGGCACAAUGGGGGGAAGCCUGAUGAAGAAGCGCCGCGGGCGGAAUGACGGCCUGCGGGUUGAAAAAAGCGUGAGCCUGAGACGAAGAGGGAGUGACGGUAAUGGGUAAAGAAGCACCGGCUAACUACGUG
This 468-nucleotide ribosomal RNA is filed under the name uncultured bacterium. Its description in RNAcentral is "partial 16S ribosomal RNA". It matches the Rfam family "Bacterial small subunit ribosomal RNA", at positions 28 to 507 of the family's 1533-position model. The record is from RNAcentral.